RNAcentral lists this ribosomal RNA (291 nucleotides) under Triticum aestivum (bread wheat). RNAcentral's name for it is "partial small subunit ribosomal RNA". Lineage: Eukaryota; Viridiplantae; Streptophyta; Magnoliopsida; Poales; Poaceae. The record is from RNAcentral.
AUGACUGCACGGCAGGGAGUGAGCACGCCAAUGCAGAGUGCACAUUGUGCAAUGAGUUAUGUCUUAUGUAUAGGUCUUGAGAGGACCCGAUGGAUAUUCAAUGGGUAUGGAUAUCCAUCAGAUUUGGACAUGUGUCUAUAUGAUGGUGCUCCAAAAGGCCCUCAGAUAAGAGAUUUAGAGCAUGGUGCUGACAUGGUUGUUGCAACUCCUGGAAGGCCGAAUGAUAUUCUGGAAAUGGGGAAAGUGAGUCUGAGUCAAAUAGCAUAUCUUGUUCUUGAUGAAGCUGACUGA